CGCUGCUAACUGCAGUCGACGGCCCCUUCGGGGGUAGUGGCGGACGGCUGAGUAACACGUGGGUGACCUGCCCUCGAGCGGGGGAUAACUGCCCGAAAGGGUGGCUAAUACCGCAGAUGUCGUGCAUUCGGUUGCGCGACUGAACCUCCGGGGUUCGAGGAGGGGCCCGCGGCCGAUUAGCUCGCUGGUGGGGUAAUGGCCUACCAGGGCAUCGAUCGGUAGCUGGUCUGAGAGGAUGAUCAGCCAGACUGGGACUGCGAACGGCCCAGACUCCUACGGGAGGCAGCAGUUAGGAAUUUUGGGCAAUGGGCGGAAGCCUGACCCAGCAACGCCGCGUGGGUGAUGAAGGCCCUCGGGUCGUAAAGCCCUUUUCCCAGGGAAGAUGAUGACGGUACCUGGGGAAUCAGCCCCGGCUAACUACGUGCCAGCAGCCGCGGUAAUACGUAGGGGGCAAGCGUUGUCCGGAUUUAUUGGGCGUAAAGCGCUCGCAGGUGGUCCGAUGCGUCGUGCGUGAAAGACCCCGGCUCAACUGGGGGGUGUCGUGCGAUACGGUCGGACUGGAGGCCAGUAGGGGGAUGCGGAAUUCCGGGUGUAGUGGUGGAAUGCGUAGAGAUCCGGAGGAACACCAGCGGCGAAGGCGGCAUCCUGGACUGGUCCUGACACUCAGGAGCGAAAGCGUGGGGAGCGAUCCGGAUUAGAUACCCGGGUAGUCCACGCUGUAAACGAUGAGCACUAGGUGUCGGGGGUAUCGACCCCCUCGGUGCCGCAGCUAACGCGAUAAGUGCUCCGCCUGGGGACUACGGCCGCAAGGCUAAAACUCAAAGGAAUUGACGGGGGCCCGCACAAGCAG
This 850-nucleotide ribosomal RNA is filed under the name uncultured bacterium. RNAcentral's name for it is "bacterial SSU rRNA". It matches the Rfam family "Bacterial small subunit ribosomal RNA", at positions 45 to 932 of the family's 1533-position model. The record is from RNAcentral.